UACAGAGGGUGCGAGCGUUGUCCGGAAUCACUGGGCGUAAAGGGCGCGUAGGUGGCGCUGCAAGUCGGUGGUGAAAGCUCGUCGCUUAACGACGAGUCGGCCAUCGAAACUGCAGGGCUCGAGCACUGUAGGGGCAGGUGGAAUUCCGGGUGUAGCGGUGGAAUGCGUAGAGAUCCGGAAGAACACCAGUGGCGAAGGCGGCCUGCUGGGCAGUUGCUGACACUGAUGCGCGACAGCGUGGGGAGCAAACAGG
This 253-nucleotide ribosomal RNA is filed under the name uncultured prokaryote. RNAcentral describes it as "partial 16S ribosomal RNA". It matches the Rfam family "Bacterial small subunit ribosomal RNA", at positions 524 to 776 of the family's 1533-position model. The record is from RNAcentral.